This 301-nucleotide ribosomal RNA is filed under the name uncultured bacterium. RNAcentral's name for it is "partial 16S ribosomal RNA". It matches the Rfam family "Bacterial small subunit ribosomal RNA", at positions 509 to 808 of the family's 1533-position model. The record is from RNAcentral.
CAGUAGCCGCGGGAAUACGUAGGUCCCGAGCGUUGUCCGGAUUUAUUGGGCGUAAAGCGAGCGCAGGCGGUUAGAUAAGUCUGAAGUUAAAGGCUGUGGCUUAACCAUAGUACGCUUUGGAAACUGUUUAACUUGAGUGCAAGAGGGGAGAGUGGAAUUCCAUGUGUAGCGGUGAAAUGCGUAGAUAUAUGGAGGAACACCGGUGGCGAAAGCGGCUCUCUGGCUUGUAACUGACGCUGAGGCUCGAAAGCGUGGGGAGCAAACAGGAUUAGAUACCCCAGUGGUCCCUGUCUCUUAUACC